CCGUUGGAGACCACAACGUUGAUAGGUGGGGUGUGUAAGCGUAGCGAUACGUUGAGCUAACCCAUACUAAUUACCCGUGAGGCUUAACCAU
Molecule: ribosomal RNA, 91 nt
Filed under: Aeromonas caviae
Lineage: Bacteria; Pseudomonadati; Pseudomonadota; Gammaproteobacteria; Aeromonadales; Aeromonadaceae
Description: partial 23S ribosomal RNA
Rfam family: Bacterial large subunit ribosomal RNA
Source: RNAcentral